AGUUCCUACGGGACGCAGCAGUAGGGAAUAUUGCUCAAUGGGGGAAACCCUGAAGCAGCAACGCCGCGUGGAGGAUGAAGGUUUUCGGAUUGUAAACUCCUUUUGUUAGAGAAGAUAAUGACGGUAUCUAACGAAUAAGCACCGGCUAACUCCGUGCCAGCAGCCGCGGUAAUACGGAGGGUGCAAGCGUUACUCGGAAUCACUGGGCGUAAAGAGCGCGUAGGCGGGAUAGCAAGUCUGAUGUUAAAUCCUAUGGCUUGAC
RNAcentral lists this ribosomal RNA (262 nucleotides) under uncultured bacterium. RNAcentral's name for it is "partial 16S ribosomal RNA". It matches the Rfam family "Bacterial small subunit ribosomal RNA", at positions 334 to 613 of the family's 1533-position model. The record is from RNAcentral.